RNAcentral lists this ribosomal RNA (217 nucleotides) under uncultured bacterium. RNAcentral's name for it is "partial 16S ribosomal RNA". It matches the Rfam family "Bacterial small subunit ribosomal RNA", at positions 1285 to 1500 of the family's 1533-position model. The record is from RNAcentral.
UACUCAGUUCGGAUUGUAGGCUGCAACUCGCCUACAUGAAGUCGGAAUUGCAGUAAUCGCGGAUCAGCAUGCCGCGGUGAAUACGUUCCCGGGCCUUGUACACACCGCCCGUCACACCAUGGAAGUUGGUAACACCCGAAGCCUGUAGCCUAACCGCAAGGAGGGGCGCAGUCGAAGGUGGGGAUUGAUGACUGGGGUGAAGUCGUAACAAGGUACC